CAACUCUCAUCCUUAAGCUUCUCUCUCUAAAACCUACGAAUUAUUGUAGCAUAUCAGUCCCUAAACAAAGCCCAACCAUCACAAACAACAAAUCAGAAGCAUCAAGAAGCCAGAAAUCAAAAAUCAAGCUUGAAAAGGUAGGAAAUCCUAAAUUCUAGAAAUCCUUCGAUUCGAUGUUAAUUGAUGCAAUUGAUUGUUUAAAGUAGUGUAAUAGAGAGUCUAUUAAUGUUCUGGGUUGUAAAAUCAUGAACCCAUAACAUCAAAGUGCACGAAUUUGAAGAUUUAAACAAGUUGGAAAAACCGAAUUCUGUUAUUUUUCACCAAAUGUCAGAGGCUAUAAAUCUUUGGUCGAUCUCGAGUUUUGUUUUUUAAAAGUUGUUAUAGGUAGCCUGAUAUGUGGUCUUUAAUCUCCAAAAGGAAUAAAGUUCAUAGCUAUUGUAGAUCGGGAUUUAUAAGCGGUCAAAGUGGGUUGACCGGCAUUGACCGGCUGUUCUUCAAACCCAGAAAAUAUUCUAAGUGUCCAGAAAAUAUUAUUUUGGAAAAUGUCAGGCCUUAUAUCUCGGUUAUCUUUAAUGUGUUUUGUGUUCUAAAGGUUGAUAUGUGUAUCUUGUUAUGUGGUAUUUAACCUCCAAAAAGAAUCAGGUCCAUAUAUAUUACGGAUUAAGAGUUAUUUAAGGUCAAAGUGGGUUGACCGGCAUUGACCAGAAAAUUCUGGGCAGCCCAGAAUUUUCUAAGUGUUAAUUUUUCUGACAAGGUUUGACCAUACUUUAGAUGCUUGAUUUCUUGUUUUUAUGAUGAUGUUAAGUGUUAGAGUUGUAGUCCUACAUGUUGUCUACACACUGGAAUUGAUAGAUCACAUAAACGUUACACGAUCAUCAAGUUAUAGAGGUCCAAAGUAGGCACCUCGAACUGUUCUUCGUGAAGAACAGCUUUGGUAGCUACUUUGAUGGCUGAUUUAUCCCAGAUCUGAUGUUUGUUUAGAGGUUAUGAUUGUUGGAUCUUGUAGUCUUGUAUUUCCUCUACAAGACCCAAUUUAUAGAUUGUCCAAAUUCGUUAAGAUGAGAGAGUUAUUCACGGUCAAAGUAGGCCACUCGGUUCUGCCUUAUGAAGAUCUGGGUAGGCUCAAGAACACCUAUAGCGACACUUCUGUCACUAUAGGGGCCUUUAGCGACAGUUUUAAUUAUUUUAAUUUCUGAUUUUCCGAAAAAUGAUUUAAAAAUUAGAAAAAUUAGAUUUUAAUUAUUAAAAAUACCAAAUAAAUUAUGAAAAAUUAUUUUAAAGUCUGAAAAAUAGUUUUUAAUUAUUUUGAGUAUAUUUCAUAAAUAUUUAAUAUUUUUGGAAUAUAAAAGGUAUUUAUUUAUUUAAUUAUAAUAUUAAAUAAAUGAUUUAAAAAUAGUUUUAAUUCAUGAAAAAUCAUGAAAAAUUAUAUUAUGGUAUAAGAAAAUAUUUUAAGUUAUUUCCCAUGACUUUUAAUAUUUUGUGAUGAAUUUCAUUAAUUAAUUAUAUAUUAAUGAUAUUAAAGUUAUUUAAUGAUUAUAUUAAAUAAUUUAGUUUAAAAAUGAUUUUAAUAUUAUAAAAAUCAUUUUAAAUGAAAUUAAGGUAUUUAAAAAUAUUUUAAGUUAUAAAAUAUAACUUUUAAUAUUUAAAGGAUAAUUUCAUUAAUAAUUUAAUAUUAAUGAUAUUAAGAUAAUAUUAAUGAUAUUUAGUUUAUUUAAUAAUUAUUAUUAAAUAAAUAGUUUAAAAAUGGUUUUAUUUAUUUAAAAAUCAUUUAAAGAGGAUAUUAAGGAUUUAAAAAUAUUUUAAGUUAUAAUUAAUGACUUUUAAUAUUUGGAUGAAUAGUACAUUAAUAUUUAUAUAUUAAUGGUGAUUAUUUAAAAAUGAUUUUAAUUGUUUUAAAAAUCAUUUAAGGGUAAUAUAAAUGUUUUAAAAAUAGUUUGAGUUAUUAUAAAUAACUUUUAUAUUUUGGCAAUGGUUUCAUUAAUAGUUUAAUAUAAAUUAAUUAUUAAUGAUAAUGGAAUUGUUUAAUGUUUAAAUCAUUUAAUUAUGAUUCCGAUGUUUGAAAGUUAUAGCCGGCCAAACUAGCUGACUUGAGAACCGAUUAUGAAGUUAUGAAGUUUUGAGGAACACCUAUAGUAACAGUUAUAUCACUAUAGGCCCGGUAGUGACAGAUUUGAAUUAUUUUAAAUUUUUCAAUUUCUGGAAAAUUCGAAAAUGAUUAAAAAUAAAAUGUUUGAUAUUUACAGAUGUUGAGGUAUAGGAUAAGAGUCUUAGACUCAGUAUUUACCCGAUAAAGCUGUCGGUACGCCGACAAAUGUCAGACCCUAUAAUAGAAAGAAAAGACUUCUGUAAGAGCAUGGAUGAGAUAUUUGAAAAAUGUAUAAAAAUAUUUCAAGUAUAGAAUAUGAACUAAAAGUAUGAUCACUGCGAUUAUGUGAUGACGUGAUUAGACUAUGUGCUGACUGUAAUAGACAGUACUAUGUGUUAUGAUAUAUUGUUCUAAUCGAACGAAUGAUCUGAUUAUUGAUAGGUUGUGAUAAAGAGAUAAAACCUAAGUUGAGAUUUGUAAUCAGCGAAUCAGGCAAGUAUCUUACCUUUGCAUUUCCUUUAUGCAAUGGACAUGAGUAAGAAGUUUCAGAAUUAUUCUAUUCCUGUACAGAUUAUGUACGCUUUGAUUAUCAACAUGUUAGCUCAGAUAUAUAUUCUGUUAAGUUGAUUUCUAAAUGGUUAUACAAGUGUCCCCACUUGGAUAAUCAUGGCAUUUAUUCACAUGUUGAUAUACCUUUGUCAAUUACCCGUAUACAUAUAUGUUGAAUUACAUAUUAUUGUUGAGCAAGAUUAAAAACCUUCGGGUUUGGAACCAGGCAUGUAUGAACAUCCCGAUAAUGGGAAAAUUUUUAUGCGCUUCGGCGGACAAAGGGUGAGCGAUGAAUUUCGUUCAAGUUAUGUAGUAUUGAUCAAUACAGGGUACAACGGGGCUGAUCACCCUCCGUGCCCGUAAGUUAUGACGGUUUGCGGAUGAAUUUCUGCUAAACCUUUUCGAAAAUGAAAAACAAUGUUCAUAGUAUGUUUCUUAAACCCUAUUCAUGGGUGGAGCCUAAUUUCAAGAAAUUGAAAGAGAGUUGUUAUGUGAAUCUUUUAUCAGUACAGAUUACUUCACAACUUUUGAUUCGUUGUAGAAGUGUUAUGUAAAGAGAAUACUUAUAUUCUUUCAGCUUAUAUAUAAUUGUUAUUACUCGUUGGGCACUCAAAUGCUCAUCCUUGCUUAAAUUAAAUGUUUUCAGUUACGUACGAUCGACCUGAAGGCUCAGGCACGAAUAAGGGAAAAGAAAAGCUAUUCGAAUGAGAUUUAGUAUGAGUUAAUGGUUAUAGUUAGUAAGACAAUGGAAUCUAUUGUCAGAUAUUGUAAGGAAUGUAUUUGAAGGUCACGUACCUGGGGAAGUAAACUUUGAUGUAUGUAAAUUAAGUUCGAAUGUAUUAUUAUUUAGUAUUAUUCAGCUUAAAGAAAUGGUAUCGUGGAGAACCGAGUUCGAGUUUCAAGUACCUGGAUUUGGGGUCGCCACAUAAUCCAGAUCCAUAAUAUCUGGACAACAAGUCUCCAAAUCACAUCAGAAAGGGUGUGGUAAUGUUUAACCUGGAGCUUUUCAAAAUGCAUUUUAUGACUACAUGCAUACAUGCAUUAUUUUAACAUACGUGUACAAUAGAGUUAAAAUGCAUGACUACCCAAUGCCUACGUUUUGGAAAAUUUUUCCAUAGUCCCCAUUGUAAAUAGGACAAUCC
RNAcentral lists this long non-coding RNA (3777 nucleotides) under Panax ginseng (ginseng). Its description in RNAcentral is "long non-coding RNA (PGIN_LNC000534)". The record is from RNAcentral. Lineage: Eukaryota; Viridiplantae; Streptophyta; Magnoliopsida; Apiales; Araliaceae.